RNAcentral lists this long non-coding RNA (207 nucleotides) under Lathyrus oleraceus (garden pea). RNAcentral describes it as "Pisum sativum (pea) long non-coding RNA (PSAT_LNC017948)". The record is from RNAcentral. Lineage: Eukaryota; Viridiplantae; Streptophyta; Magnoliopsida; Fabales; Fabaceae.
AGAAAAAUACUCAUAAUUGUAACUCAAAAACCAAAGGAAAAAGCAUGCAAUUUUUUUUUAAGAAAGCAAACCAAAACCAAAAUAGAGAAAAACUGAAAAGAAAACAAAUAAAUGGUUCACUCCCCCACACUUAAAACAUAGUCCUCAAUGAAAGAGCAUAAAUAUAAAAUAAGAGUGAGAAAAAGGAAAGAACACACCCGAGGAGUC